Molecule: ribosomal RNA, 403 nt
Filed under: Verrucomicrobiota bacterium
Lineage: Bacteria; Pseudomonadati; Verrucomicrobiota
Description: Verrucomicrobia bacterium partial 16S ribosomal RNA
Rfam family: Bacterial small subunit ribosomal RNA
Source: RNAcentral
UGGGGAAUAUUGCACAAUGUGGGAAACCCUGAUGCAGCGACGCCGCGUGAGCGAAGAAGGCUUUCGAGUCGUAAAGCUCUGUCCUAUGAGAAGAUAAUGACGGUAUCAUAGGAGGAAGCCCUGGCUAAAUACGUGCCAGCAGCCGCGGUAAUACGUAUGGGGCGAGCGUUGUCCGGAAUUAUUGGGCGUAAAGGGUACGUAGGCGGUUUUUUAAGUCAGGUGUCAAAGCGUGGAGCUUAACUCCAUUAAGCACUUGAAACUGAAAGACUUGAGUGAAGGAGAGGAAAGUGGAAUUCCUAGUGUAGCGGUGAAAUGCGUAGAUAUUAGGAGGAAUACCGGUGGCGAAGGCGACUUUCUGGACUUUUACUGACGCUCAGGUACGAAAGCGUGGGGAGCAAACAGG